This 331-nucleotide ribosomal RNA is filed under the name uncultured bacterium. RNAcentral's name for it is "bacterial SSU rRNA". It matches the Rfam family "Bacterial small subunit ribosomal RNA", at positions 568 to 898 of the family's 1533-position model. The record is from RNAcentral.
CGCGUAGGCGGUUUGCUUAGUUAGGCGUGAAAUUCCUGGGCUCAACCUGGGGACUGCGUUUAAUACAGGCAGACUUGAGUUUGGAAGAGGGUCGUGGAAUUCCCAGUGUAGAGGUGAAAUUCGUAGAUAUUGGGAAGAACACCGGUGGCGAAGGCGGCGACCUGGUCCGAUACUGACGCUGAGGCGCGAAAGCGUGGGGAGCAAACAGGAUUAGAUACCCUGGUAGUCCACGCCGUAAACGAUGUGUGCUGGAUGUUGGGUGACCUAGUCACUCAGUGUCGUAGCUAACGCGAUGAGCACACCGCCUGGGGAGUACGGCCGCAAGGUUGAA